Molecule: non-coding RNA, 107 nt
Filed under: Ferroacidibacillus organovorans
Lineage: Bacteria; Bacillati; Bacillota; Bacilli; Caryophanales; Alicyclobacillaceae
Description: Acidibacillus ferrooxidans TPP sequence
Rfam family: TPP riboswitch aptamer (THI element)
About the family: Vitamin B(1) in its active form thiamin pyrophosphate (TPP) is an essential coenzyme that is synthesised by coupling of pyrimidine and thiazole moieties in bacteria. The previously detected thiamin-regulatory element, thi box was extended, resulting in a new, highly conserved RNA secondary structure, the THI element, which is widely distributed in eubacteria and also occurs in some archaea.
Source: RNAcentral
GUAAGGCGCUAGGGGUGCCAAUGGCUGAGAGGCGAAAUCAACGUUUUGCCAACCCUUCAGAACUCGAUCUGGGUCAUACCAGCGGGAGGAAGUGCCGUAUACCGGAG